AACAGUGAUGAGUCAGUUUACA
RNAcentral lists this non-coding RNA (22 nucleotides) under Arabidopsis thaliana (thale cress). Lineage: Eukaryota; Viridiplantae; Streptophyta; Magnoliopsida; Brassicales; Brassicaceae. The record is from RNAcentral.